RNAcentral lists this ribosomal RNA (650 nucleotides) under uncultured bacterium. RNAcentral's name for it is "bacterial SSU rRNA". It matches the Rfam family "Bacterial small subunit ribosomal RNA", at positions 202 to 839 of the family's 1533-position model. The record is from RNAcentral.
GAAAGGCGCUUUUGCGUCACUGAUGGAUGGACCCGCGGUGCAUUAGCUAGUUGGUGAGGUAACGGCUCACCAAGGCCACGAUGCAUAGCCGACCUGAGAGGGUGAUCGGCCACACUGGGACUGAGACACGGCCCAGACUCCUACGGGAGGCAGCAGUAGGGAAUCUUCGGCAAUGGACGAAAGUCUGACCGAGCAACGCCGCGUGAGUGAAGAAGGUUUUCGGAUCGUAAAACUCUGUUGUUAGAGAAGAACAAGGAUGAGAGUAAAAUGUUCAUCCCUUGACGGUAUCUAACCAGAAAGCCACGGCUAACUACGUGCCAGCAGCCGCGGUAAUACGUAGGUGGCAAGCGUUGUCCGGAUUUAUUGGGCGUAAAGCGAGCGCAGGCGGUUUCUUAAGUCUGAUGUGAAAGCCCCCGGCUCAACCGGGGAGGGUCAUUGGAAACUGGGAGACUUGAGUGCAGAAGAGGAGAGUGGAAUUCCAUGUGUAGCGGUGAAAUGCGUAGAUAUAUGGAGGAACACCAGUGGCGAAGGCGGCUCUCUGGUCUGUAACUGACGCUGAGGCUCGAAAGCGUGGGGAGCGAACAGGAUUAGAUACCCUGGUAGUCCACGCCGUAAACGAUGAGUGCUAAGUGUUGGAGGGUUUCCGCCCU